GGCUUGCUUGCUUAGGAGUGCUAGCUUCCAGCCGCUGGUCAGCCCUGAAUCCUUGAGGCUUCAACUUUGCAAGGGUUCUACAGACCCAACCUGAAUUCUGCUCCCAAGUGUCUCUUCACCAAACAAUGCAUUCCAUCCCCAUGCCCCAAGUCAAGAACCACUCAAGAGUGGUUCCUUCUCAUUUCCACACUCCAGGCGCCCUCUUCUGCUUAGCCCUUCCAACACUUCCUGGGCCCCUGGCUUUGAUUCCAUAGGUUUCACAGUCAAUCCUCAGGGAUGCUGUAAAGCAAUUAAUAAUCUUAUCUUCAUUUUUACAACUAAGGGAACUAUUUCACAGCAGUUAACUUGUUCUGGGUCACAUGGCCAGUAAGUCACAGAGUCCCACUGCAAUCCUGCUGUUCCAGAUCCGCACCCCGUGCGCCUACCAGAAGAAUCCAUUAGCUCAAAGACUCCGCAGUCUGUUCUCUCUUUUCCAGAACUUCCUGGUUUUCACAGUCUGCUUAGGUUGGUCUUAAUGGCUACUUAACCCUCUUUUAUUAUCAUGGCUUAUAUGUUGAGUCAUUUAUCCAUUCCUUCAUUCACUAUCAGGCUAAUCUUACAUCAUUGUAAUUCAAGGCCAUCUUUUCUCAUUCCUCCAUCAUUUUCCUCACUGAGCCCCUGAUGCAGAUGUGUUGAGACCCAGAAUGUUCACUUUUACCAGGGCUUUGAGCUAGACUCUCUCUUUCUUUUUUUUAAAUUUGUUUAUUUUUAUUUCAGGCUCAUUGGUGUUUUGCUUGCAUGUGUGUCUGAGGGUGUUAGAGCCCCUGGAAUAGGAGUCAUAGACAGCUGUGAGCUGCCAUGUGGGUGCUGGGAAUUGGACCCAGGUCCUCUGGCCGUGCUCUUAACCUCUGAGCCAUCACUCUAGCACCUGACCCUCCGUUUCUUAGAGUAUACUUUUGCCAGGGCAACAGAAAUGGGGCAUGAACGAGGAGGAUAUGACAGUUUACUGUGGUCUGGCAAACUCCCAUUCUGUCUGGUCUUCCAGGAACUGGAUGUCUGGAAGACCCAGCCGGGGUAAUUAGAAACUAACUCUCUCCUGUCUCCUUCGGAGAUGGGGGUCUUAUAUUCCAGGCUGGUCUGGAACUCGCCGUGUAGCUGAAGACUACUUUGGACAAGACUCCCUGUGUUCCUGCUUCUACUUCCUGGGACUUGGGAACAAAAGCAAAACCCACUGCUAGUCUGAAGAAAUCUGACAAGAGUUCAGCAACUUCUCCACAAGGCCUAAUGUUUAGUCCUGGAAUGUGCUCAAAUCUGAGAAGAGAGGCCUGUGGUUGUGCUCACUGGCCAUAUCAUUGGCUCUUGGAACCUGCCAGUAGCAACCCUGAGUUUUUAUUCAGGUGAUAGCACUCCUUCCAUCAGCGAUGAAGCUCUGCAAAGAGUGCCUCAAGACACAUGAUAUUGCCAAGAUAGUUUUGGGAGUGCCCUGGAUGACCGUUAGUCCUCAGAGGCUAAUGAAUAACGCUGCUCAUCUCUGUCAACCUGGCCGUGAAGCCAUGUUAGCUGUGG
Meriones unguiculatus (Mongolian gerbil) is the source of this 1545-nucleotide long non-coding RNA. RefSeq lists it as uncharacterized. Lineage: Eukaryota; Metazoa; Chordata; Mammalia; Rodentia; Muridae. The record is from RefSeq and is a predicted model, not a curated record. The transcript is spliced from 3 exons.